Molecule: ribosomal RNA, 467 nt
Filed under: uncultured bacterium
Lineage: Bacteria
Description: SSU rRNA
Rfam family: Bacterial small subunit ribosomal RNA
Source: RNAcentral
AGAAUCAACGCUGGCGGCGUGCCUAACACAUGCAAGUCGAACGAGAAAGGGUAGCAAUACCUGAGUAAAGUGGCGCACGGGUGAGUAACACGUGACUAACCUACCCUGGAGUGGGGGAUAACUGAGGGAAACCUUAGCUAAUACCGCAUAAUACCUACGGGUCAAAGGAGCAAUUCGCUUUGGGAGGGGGUCGCGGCCGAUUAGUUAGUUGGCGGGGUAAUGGCCCACCAAGACAGUGAUCGGUAUCCGGCCUGAGAGGGGCGCGACGGAACGACGACCUGGAACGUGAAACACGGUCCAGACUCCUACGGGAGGCAGCAGUGGGGAAUUUUGCGCAAUGGGGGAAACCCUGACGCAGCAACGCCGCGUGGAGGAUGAAGUACUUCGGUACGUAAACUCCUUUCGAUCGGGACGAUAAUGACGGUACCGGAAGAAGAAGCCCCGGCUAACUUCGUGCCAGCAGCCGC